AUAGUGAUAUGUUAAGCGGACAGAUACUAAUCGGUCGAGGGCUUAACCAA
This 50-nucleotide ribosomal RNA is filed under the name Desulfuribacillus stibiiarsenatis. Its description in RNAcentral is "partial 23S ribosomal RNA". The record is from RNAcentral. Lineage: Bacteria; Bacillati; Bacillota; Desulfuribacillia; Desulfuribacillales; Desulfuribacillaceae.